CUGGCCCUGAAUCAAGGAAGGCAGCUUCCUGACGCUAUUGGUUUUAAGCAGGAGCCUAACGAGAUUUCUUUCUAUGGUCUGUUGGCCAUUUCAGAACUUGGCCAGGGAAAUGGUCAUUUUGUUAGAAAGAAACAGCU
This is a small nucleolar RNA of Cavia aperea (Brazilian guinea pig), 137 nucleotides long. The record is from Ensembl. NCBI's taxonomy places the organism in Eukaryota, Metazoa, Chordata, Mammalia, Rodentia, Caviidae.